AUCCAACUGACGAGUCCAAAAUAGGACGAAACGCGCGUCCUCCAU
This 45-nucleotide non-coding RNA is filed under the name Schistosoma mansoni. Lineage: Eukaryota; Metazoa; Platyhelminthes; Trematoda; Strigeidida; Schistosomatidae. The record is from RNAcentral.